GGUGAGGUGGGUGAGAGGCUGAAACCACCAGUUUGCUAAACUGGCGUACGGGAAACUGUACCGCGGGUUCGAAUCCCGCCCUCACCGCGA
Molecule: transfer RNA, 90 nt
Filed under: Cryomorphaceae bacterium BACL23 MAG-120924-bin60
Lineage: Bacteria; Pseudomonadati; Bacteroidota; Flavobacteriia; Flavobacteriales; Cryomorphaceae
Also listed under: 2 other names
Description: tRNA-Ser
Rfam family: tRNA
About the family: Transfer RNA (tRNA) molecules are approximately 80 nucleotides in length. Their secondary structure includes four short double-helical elements and three loops (D, anti-codon, and T loops).
Source: RNAcentral